This 465-nucleotide ribosomal RNA is filed under the name Vreelandella stevensii. RNAcentral describes it as "partial 16S ribosomal RNA". It matches the Rfam family "Bacterial small subunit ribosomal RNA", at positions 338 to 795 of the family's 1533-position model. Lineage: Bacteria; Pseudomonadati; Pseudomonadota; Gammaproteobacteria; Oceanospirillales; Halomonadaceae. The record is from RNAcentral.
CCUACGGGUGGCAGCAGUGGGGAAUAUUGGACAAUGGGGGGAACCCUGAUCCAGCCAUGCCGCGUGUGUGAAGAAGGCCCUCGGGUUGUAAAGCACUUUCAGUGAGGAAGAACGCCUGGUGGUUAAUACCCAUCAGGAAAGACAUCACUCACAGAAGAAGCACCGGCUAACUCCGUGCCAGCAGCCGCGGUAAUACGGAGGGUGCGAGCGUUAAUCGGAAUUACUGGGCGUAAAGCGCGCGUAGGUGGCUUGAUAAGCCGGUUGUGAAAGCCCCGGGCUCAACCUGGGAACGGCAUCCGGAACCGUCAAGCUAGAGUGCAGGAGAGGAAGGUAGAAUUCCCGGUGUAGCGGUGAAAUGCGUAGAGAUCGGGAGGAAUACCAGUGGCGAAGGCGGCCUUCUGGACUGACACUGACACUGAGGUGCGAAAGCGUGGGUAGCAAACAGGAUUAGAUACCCUAGUAGUC